RNAcentral lists this ribosomal RNA (557 nucleotides) under Arhysoceble sp. DZUB59587. RNAcentral describes it as "partial 16S ribosomal RNA". The stretch from base 394 to 552 matches the Rfam family "Bacterial large subunit ribosomal RNA", at positions 2473 to 2632 of the family's 2925-position model. Lineage: Eukaryota; Metazoa; Arthropoda; Insecta; Hymenoptera; Apidae. The record is from RNAcentral.
CAAAACAUGGCUUAUUGAUAAUAAUUUUAAGUCGAUCUGCUCAAUGAUUAAUUAUUAAAUAGCUGCAGUAUACCUGACUGUACAAAGGUAGCAUAAUCAAUUGUCUUUUAAUUGAAGGCUGGAAUGAAAGAAUUAAUGAAAUAUAUACUGUCUCAAUUAUAUAAAAUUAAUUUAAAUUUUUAGUAAAAAUGCUAAAAUUUAAUUAUGGGACGAUAAGACCCUAUAGAAUUUUAUAUAUUUAAUUAAUAUUAUAUUAGAAAUUUAUUUAAUAUUAAUUAAAUAUAUUUAGUUGGGAGGAUUAUUAAAUUUAUUAAACUUUAAUUUAAUUUAAUCUAAAAUUUUAGAAUAAAUUAUUGAACUUUAUUAAAAAUUAUAAGAAUAAAUUACCUUAGGGAUAACAGCAUAAUAUCUUUUGUUAGAUCUUAUUAAUAAAGAUGAUUAUGACCUCGAUGUUGAAUUAAGAUAUAUUUUAAAUGCAGGAGUUUAAAAAUUAAGUUUGUUCAACUUUUAAAAUCUUACAUGAUUUGAGUUCAGAUCGACGUAAGUCAGAUUGGUCC